UAUUUGACGAAGACAAGAAGAGUAGCAGUCUGGCAGUUGUUUAGAGAGCCUUUGGUUGGUGGAAAAAGGUCGGCGGCGGACGGUGAAACACAUCUUGGAGUCGCCCUUCUGAAUCGAGUAGGAAGAGCCGGGUUAGCCCGAUAUCGCUGCGGUCAUUGUUUGAUGACUCGUUGAGAUUCUGGCUUGUGAAGGCUAGGGUGAAAAAAGGUGGAACCACGUUAUUGACGUCCUUUGG
This 235-nucleotide non-coding RNA is filed under the name Enterococcus asini. RNAcentral's name for it is "T-box sequence". It matches the Rfam family "T-box leader". Rfam says of the family: Uncharged tRNA acts as the effector for transcription antitermination of genes in the T-box leader family. T-boxes are found upstream of many aminoacyl-tRNA synthetase genes and some amino acid biosynthetic genes usually in Gram-positive bacteria. The anticodon of a specific tRNA base pairs to a specifier sequence within the T-box motif, and the NCCA acceptor tail of the tRNA base pairs to a conserved bulge in the T-box antiterminator hairpin. The record is from RNAcentral. Lineage: Bacteria; Bacillati; Bacillota; Bacilli; Lactobacillales; Enterococcaceae.